Molecule: ribosomal RNA, 268 nt
Filed under: uncultured bacterium
Lineage: Bacteria
Description: partial 16S ribosomal RNA
Rfam family: Bacterial small subunit ribosomal RNA
Source: RNAcentral
AUGGCGACCGGCGCACGGGUGAGUAACGCGUAUCCAACCUGCCCUUUACUAUGGGACAGCCCGUCGAAAGGCGGAUUAAUACCGUAUGUUGUCAUGUUGAUGCAUAUUUUCAUGACCAAAGGCUUCGGCCGGUAAAGGAUGGGGAUGCGUCUGAUUAGCUUGCCGGCGGGGUAACGGCCCACCGGGGCGACGAUCAGUAGGGGUUCUGGGAGGAAGGUCCCCCACAUUGGAACUGAGACACGGUCCAAACUCCUACGGAAGGCAGCAG